This 819-nucleotide small RNA is filed under the name Pongo abelii (Sumatran orangutan). RNAcentral's name for it is "processed transcript". The record is from RNAcentral. Lineage: Eukaryota; Metazoa; Chordata; Mammalia; Primates; Hominidae.
AGCCCCCAAUUUUGUGAGUGUCCCUGAAGCAUUGUGACAAUUCCAUUUUAUGUGUCUGCGUGCUCAUAUCAAGACUAAGGAGUGAUGGAGACUCUCCAGUUCAGAUCCAGUAGCUUUUAGGGAAGGAACUACAGUUGCUGACUUGAGUUGAAGAAGCAUCUACUUAAUGUCUGGUCAAAUCCUACAAGAAAUACAGAAAUCUAUGAUUAAAAAGCUGAGCACUUUGAUAUACUGCAAAGGGUAGAGAAGGCAGGACGGUAGAAAUCUUCUGCAAGGAAGAAUGAAUUUCAGGAUUUAUCACUAAAUCAGACAAAGUCAUUUAUUUAGUCCCCCUGACACAGCAGGGCAAACUGAGUUGGCAUACAAGUUACCUGGAGAAAAAGAGAGCAAUUCCAGGACUUCCUCUUCAGCCUAAAAGAAGGUACCAGAUCUGUGCACUGGGGCUAUGUGGAAGAGACGUGCUUAUUGCCCCUGAUAUGGAUGCAGAGGCUGAAGAUAAAACGCUGCGUACUCGCUCUAAAGGAACCGAGGUGCCAAUGGAUUCGCUAAUCCAGGAGCUCAGAAUCAGUGUGCCCAUGGACAUGAGGCCACUUACCUGGUGAGGGACAUCAGAGUCUUUUAAAGGAACCAAGCCAUUCAGAGAAAAAAAGGCCAGACCUGAACAUUAGAAUCCAAGAAACUGACACCUUCAAGAAAACACUUUUUUACCUAUAAGCCACUUUGAGAGGGACUCAAGUCUGAUCACCCGAGAAGCUGAUGAUAAGGAUUAAUUUAGAAGAGAAGUGUCCCUCCAGGGUGUGGGGGAGGCGUCUGUAGCAU